UUGAUGUAAUUGAACCACUAUAUCCAGUCGAGAACAAUCAACUCAAGAAGGGCCCGCAUAUCUACAAUGGUGGAGGACCGCUCAACUUAAUAUUUAUGAGAAGAUUUAAUUUAGAUCUUCCUUAGAUUUUAAUUAUUUAUUUAUAAUGCAUAUAAAUCUAUACUUAUAUUGGAUCUACUUAAGAGAUCCUACCUUGGUUCACUA
RNAcentral lists this long non-coding RNA (204 nucleotides) under Elaeis guineensis (African oil palm). RNAcentral describes it as "long non-coding RNA (EGUI_LNC080650)". Lineage: Eukaryota; Viridiplantae; Streptophyta; Magnoliopsida; Arecales; Arecaceae. The record is from RNAcentral.